UUAAAGACUGAGACGGGAAGAGUAGAUAUAAAAGAUAGUGUGAGCGAGCCGGUUAUGGUGAGAGUCCGGUACAAAGAGUUAUAUUGAAGAACAUCCCUGAGUUGCUAACCCAAAUUAUUCAUGUUAUUUACUUGGAUAAAAGUAGGCCUAGUCGGAGCCAUACCGUUAUGAAAUGGAGAGCAUCGAGAAAUCUGUGCUUGUUUUAAGUGGAGCUUUUAGUUAAUUAAGGUGGUACCGCGGAAGAUUUACCUUUCGUCCUUUUA
This 263-nucleotide non-coding RNA is filed under the name Hathewaya proteolytica. Its description in RNAcentral is "Clostridium proteolyticum T-box sequence". It matches the Rfam family "T-box leader". Rfam says of the family: Uncharged tRNA acts as the effector for transcription antitermination of genes in the T-box leader family. T-boxes are found upstream of many aminoacyl-tRNA synthetase genes and some amino acid biosynthetic genes usually in Gram-positive bacteria. The record is from RNAcentral. Lineage: Bacteria; Bacillati; Bacillota; Clostridia; Eubacteriales; Clostridiaceae.